GAUGAACGCUGGCGGCGUGCUUAAAACAUGAAAGUAGAACGGACAGGCUCCUGCUUGAAGGGGUACUCGCGUGGCGAACGGGUGAGUAACACGUGGGUGAUAUGCACUGCACUUCGGGAUAAGCCUGGGCAACUGGGUCUAAUACCGGAUAGGACGAUGGUUUGGAUGCCAUUGUGGAAAGUUUUUCGGUGUGGGAUGAGCUCGCGGCCUAUCAGCUUGUUGGUGGGGUAAUGGCCUACCAAGGCGUCAACUGUGAGCCGGCCGGAUCGGGUGUACGGCCACAUUGGGUUUGAUAUACGGCCCAGACUCCUACGCGCGGCAGCAUCGGGGAAGAGUGCACAAUGGGCGCUUGCCUGAUCGCGUGACGCCGCGGUUUUUAUGAACGCCGUCGUGGUGUAAACUCCUUUCGCUACCGACCAAGCGCAAGUGACGGUACCUGGAGAAGAAGCACCGGCUAACUACGUG
Molecule: ribosomal RNA, 465 nt
Filed under: uncultured bacterium
Lineage: Bacteria
Description: partial 16S ribosomal RNA
Rfam family: Bacterial small subunit ribosomal RNA
Source: RNAcentral